This is a small nuclear RNA of Vicugna pacos (alpaca), 102 nucleotides long. The record is from RefSeq and is a predicted model, not a curated record. NCBI's taxonomy places the organism in Eukaryota, Metazoa, Chordata, Mammalia, Artiodactyla, Camelidae.
GUGCUGAUGCAGCCCAUGUACUAAAAUCGGAAAGACGCAGUGAAGACUAGCAUGGCCCCUGCAUAGGAUGACAUGCAGAUUCGUGACGUGUUCUGUGUUUUC